This 326-nucleotide ribosomal RNA is filed under the name uncultured eukaryote. RNAcentral describes it as "partial 18S ribosomal RNA". It matches the Rfam family "Eukaryotic small subunit ribosomal RNA", at positions 1470 to 1796 of the family's 1831-position model. The record is from RNAcentral.
CCCUUAGAUGUUCUGGGUCGCACGCGCGCUACACUGAUGCAUUCAACAAGCCUAGCCUUGACCGAGAGGUCCGGGUAAUCUUUGAAACUGCAUCGUGAUGGGGCUAGAUUAUUGCAAUUAUUAAUCUUCAACGAGGAAUGCCUAGUAAGCGUGAUUCAUCAAAUCGCGUUGAUUACGUCCCUGUCCUUUGUACACACCGCCCGUCGCUCCUACCGAUUGAAUGUGUUGGUGAGGAGCUCGGAUUGGCAGCAGUUGGUGGUUCGCCACCGGCUAUUGCUGAGAAGUCCUCCAAACCGCCCCAUUUAGAGGAAGGAGAANUCGUANCA